UACGUAGGCAGCAAGCGUUGUUCGGAAUUACUGGGCGUAAAGAGUGUGUAGGCGGUGCUCUAAGUCUGUUGUGAAAUCUCCCGGCUUAACCGGGAGGGUGCGGCGGAAACUGGAGUGCUUGAGGGUGGGAGAGGUAAGCGGAAUUCCUGGUGUAGCGGUGAAAUGCGUAGAUAUCAGGAGGAACACCUGUGGUGUAGACAGCUUACUGGACCACUUCUGACGCUGAGACACGAAAGCGUGGGUAGCAAACAGG
This 253-nucleotide ribosomal RNA is filed under the name uncultured bacterium. RNAcentral describes it as "partial 16S ribosomal RNA". It matches the Rfam family "Bacterial small subunit ribosomal RNA", at positions 524 to 776 of the family's 1533-position model. The record is from RNAcentral.